GGGGAAGCGGAAAAGGCUUAGCAGCUACUAAUGGGUUCUAUUAAUAGUAGUAGUGUUAGUUUCCUGAUAAAAGGUCCUUUGGAAACUUUGAUUCUCUUCUCACCAAGUUGAACGGAGAUGUGUUCCCAUAGUAAGAGUGAGGCCCCUGCAUUUGCUGCCCUCGGUUUUCCCAACUAACACCAGGGCCUCCCCCCUGUACCCCAUUCAUAUGCCUCAGAAGCUGACAAUGACUGUUGGGCUUUUCCAAUGAAUACCAGAACACCAUUUCCUGCAGCCUGAAAAGAAGACAGUAUAAUUGUUUGGCAGCAAGAGAAUCCAGGUGCCCUUCCAUGAGAAGCCCAAGCCAUGUGGAGAAGCCACGUCUAGGGACUCCAGUUAACACUCUCAGCUGAGUCCCCAGCUGACAGUCAGCAUCAACUGCCAGCCACCUCUGUCUAAAAGUGGGCUAUCUUGGGCAUCCAGCCCAGUCAAGCCUUCAGAUGAGUCCAGUCCCAGCCACUAUCUCACACAACCACACGAGAGACAUCAAGAACUCCCAGUGGAGUCCAGUCAGCCCAUGGAACUGCAAGAGACAGGAUCUCGCUGCGUUGCUCAGACUGGUCUCGAACUCCUGGGCUUAAGGGAUUCUCCUGCCUCAAUCACAGCCUCCCAAGUAGCUGAGAUUAAAAGUGCUCACCACCGUGCCAGCGAGUUCAGUUUUUGAGGGUGGAGCCAAGACUCUGAGGAGAGGGCUGAACUGUGAACCUAGAAGUACCAUCUCCCCCUGCACACACCUUUGGUCAAGUUGACCCCAAGAAGAAGGACAAGUCCUCUGCACGGCGAUGAGGCCAUACACACAGUCUGUGGCCCGGCUUUGGGAGACUGAUGGGACAAAGGAUGUUUUGCACGAUCCUUGGUCUCUGAGCAAAUAUAUACAUGGGUUAACACAAA
RNAcentral lists this long non-coding RNA (930 nucleotides) under Homo sapiens (human). Its description in RNAcentral is "novel transcript". The record is from RNAcentral. Lineage: Eukaryota; Metazoa; Chordata; Mammalia; Primates; Hominidae.